This 472-nucleotide ribosomal RNA is filed under the name uncultured bacterium. RNAcentral describes it as "partial 16S ribosomal RNA". It matches the Rfam family "Bacterial small subunit ribosomal RNA", at positions 28 to 507 of the family's 1533-position model. The record is from RNAcentral.
GACGAACGCUGGCGGCGUGCUUAACACAUGCAAGUCGAACGCUGAAGCUUGGUGCUUGCACUGGGUGGAUGAGUGGCGAACGGGUGAGUAAUACGUGAGUAACCUGCCCUUGACUCUGGGAUAAGCCUGGGAAACAGGGUCUAAUACUGGAUACGACAUGCCACUGCAUGGUGGUGUGUGGAAAGGGUUUUACUGGUUUUGGAUGGGCUCACGGCCUAUCAGCUUGUUGGUGGGGUAAUGGCCUACCAAGGCGACGACGGGUAGCCGGCCUGAGAGGGUGACCGGCCACACUGGGACUGAGACACGGCCCAGACUCCUACGGGAGGCAGCAGUGGGGAAUAUUGCACAAUGGGCGGAAGCCUGAUGCAGCGACGCCGCGUGAGGGAUGACGGCCUUCGGGUUGUAAACCUCUUUCAGCACGGAAGAAGCGAGAGUGACGGUACGUGCAGAAGAAGCGCCGGCUAACUACGUG